Molecule: ribosomal RNA, 253 nt
Filed under: uncultured bacterium
Lineage: Bacteria
Description: partial 16S ribosomal RNA
Rfam family: Bacterial small subunit ribosomal RNA
Source: RNAcentral
UACGAACCGUCCAAACGUUACUCGGAAUCACUGGGCGUAAAGGGUGCGUAGGCGGGUCUUUAAGUCAGGGGUGAAAUCCUGGAGCUCAACUCCAGAACUGCCUUUGAUACUGAGGAUCUUGAGUUCGGGAGAGGUGAGUGGAACUGCGAGUGUAGAGGUGAAAUUCGUAGAUAUUCGCAAGAACACCAGUGGCGAAGGCGGCUCACUGGCCCGAUACUGACGCUGAGGCACGAAAGCGUGGGGAGCAAACAGG